UUGGCCAGAGAGCCCAGGGCGCCCUCGCCAGUCGACAGAGCCUGCACACCGUAGCCGAAGAAGGAGACCAUCGCCAGGCGGGCGUGCUUGAUCUCAGCGGUCUUCAGGCGGAAGGCGCGCUCCUCGUCCUCAGAGGCCAGCUUGAGGGGGUCGAACACGCCGCCGGGGUAGCAGCGCUUCUCGGGGUUGGUCUCGCUGUUGCGGUAGAACUCAGCGCCACCGACCAGGAUCACCUCAAUCCAGAUCAGCUGGGUGAUGGAGAAGGGCAGGGACAGGCCGGCGUACGAGGCGCCGUCCAGCUCGACCUUGCCGGCCUCAACCCUGGGGUGAGGGGAAGUCCACACGGUGGGCACACGUCAGCGAGAUUACAUCGACGUAGCAAUUAUGACGCAACAACUCAAGCUCGCGCCAAUGCAAGACUAGUAAACCGGCCCGACGACGGGUGUUGCUAGUGAUCAGGGCCGACAUGUCAACCCGAAUCAGCCUGAUCUACAGAUCUGAACGCGCCGCACUGAACCCAGACUCACCAAGACACACCGGUGGUGGCCUCAGCCACCAGGGCGCCCAGGCAGGCAAGCAUGGCCCAGCGGCCGUGAAUCAGCUCGCACUCGCGGAAGCGAGCCAGGCCGAACACCUCCGAGUAGGGAGCCAGGCGGUUCUCCGAGCUAACCUCAUCGGGGGUAGCCUGGACGAUGGCCUCGACGGAGCCCUUGUUGUUCUUGGCAGCGUUCUGGUCGUUCUCGUCAACGCCAAUCACCACGAACUCCGAGGGCUUGGACAG
This 781-nucleotide long non-coding RNA is filed under the name Chlamydomonas reinhardtii. RNAcentral describes it as "long non-coding RNA (CREI_LNC001338)". The record is from RNAcentral. Lineage: Eukaryota; Viridiplantae; Chlorophyta; Chlorophyceae; Chlamydomonadales; Chlamydomonadaceae.